GCAGAACGCGAAGAACCUUACCAGGGCUUGACAUGGGAAGGACCGGACGAGAGAUCGUCCCUCUCCAGCAAUGGAGCCUUCCACACAGGUGCUGCAUGGCUGUCGUCAGCUCGUGUCGUGAGAUGUUGGGUUAAGUCCCGCAACGAGCGCAACCCUCGUUUCCAGUUGCCAUCAUUCAGUUGGGCACUCUGGAGAGACUGCCGCGAAUAACGCGGAGGAAGGUGGGGACGACGUCAAGUCAUCAUGGCCCUUACGUCCUGGGCUACACACGUGCUACAAUGGGCGCUACAGAGGGUCGCAAGAGCGCAAGCUGGAGCCAAUCCCCAAAAGCGUCCUCAGUUCGGAUCGAGGUCUGCAACCCGACCUCGUGAAGGUGGAAUCGCUAGUAAUCGCGGAUCAGAACGCCGCGGUGAAUACGUUCCCGGGUCUUGUACACACCG
Molecule: ribosomal RNA, 440 nt
Filed under: uncultured bacterium
Lineage: Bacteria
Description: bacterial SSU rRNA
Rfam family: Bacterial small subunit ribosomal RNA
Source: RNAcentral